ACUGACUGAGCGGCGGACGGGUGAGUAACGCGUGGGUGACCUGCCCCAUACCGGGGGAUAACAGCUGGAAACGGCUGCUAAUACCGCAUAAGCGCACAGAGCUGUAUGGCUCGGUGUGAAAAACUCCGGUGGUAUGGGAUGGGCCCGCGUCUGAUUAGGCAGUUGGCGGGGUAACGGCCCACCAAACCGACGAUCAGUAGCCGGCCUGAGAGGGCGACCGGCCACAUUGGGACUGAGACACGGCCCAAACUCCUACGGGAGGCAGCAGUGGGGAAUAUUGCACAAUGGGGGAAACCCUGAUGCAGCGACGCCGCGUGAGCGAAGAAGUAUUUCGGUAUGUAAAGCUCUAUCAGCAGGGAAGAUAAUGACGGUACCUGACUAAGAAGCCCCGGCUAACUACGUGCCAGCAGCCGCGGUAAUACGUAGGGGGCAAGCGUUAUCCGGAUUUACUGGGUGUAAAGGGAGCGUAGACGGCAAGGCAAGUCUGAUGUGAAAACCCAGGGCUUAACCCUGGGACUGCAUUGGAAACUGUCUGGCUCGAGUGCCGGAGAGGUAAGCGGAAUUCCUAGUGUAGCGGUGAAAUGCGUAGAUAUUAGGAAGAACACCAGUGGCGAAGGCGG
This 620-nucleotide ribosomal RNA is filed under the name uncultured Lachnospiraceae bacterium. Its description in RNAcentral is "bacterial SSU rRNA". It matches the Rfam family "Bacterial small subunit ribosomal RNA", at positions 86 to 724 of the family's 1533-position model. Lineage: Bacteria; Bacillati; Bacillota; Clostridia; Lachnospirales; Lachnospiraceae. The record is from RNAcentral.